RNAcentral lists this ribosomal RNA (419 nucleotides) under uncultured eukaryote. Its description in RNAcentral is "bacterial SSU rRNA". It matches the Rfam family "Eukaryotic small subunit ribosomal RNA", at positions 592 to 1013 of the family's 1831-position model. The record is from RNAcentral.
CAAUAGCGUAUAUUAAUGUUGUUGCAGUUAAAAAGCUCGUAGUUGGAUUUCUGGCGGGAGCGCGCGGUCCGCCCCUCACGGGGUGUGCACUUGUGCGUCUUUGGCCAUCCUUGGCGAGAGCGUCGUGGGCAUUAAGUUGUCCGUGUCGGGAUCGCCAUCAUUACUGUGAAAAAUUAGAGUGUUCAAAGCAGGCCUAUGCUCUGAAUAGGUUAGCAUGGAAUAAUAAAAUAGGACUUUGGUUCUAUUUUGUUGGUUUCUAGGACCGAAGUAAUGAUUAAUAGGGACAGUUGGGGGCAUUCAUAUUCCAAUGUCAGAGGUGAAAUUCUUGGAUUAUCGGAAGAUGAACUUCUGCGAAAGCAUCUGCCAAGGAUGUUUUCAUUGAUCAAGAACGAAAGUUAGGGGAUCGAAGACGAUUAGAU